RNAcentral lists this ribosomal RNA (465 nucleotides) under uncultured Klebsiella sp. RNAcentral's name for it is "bacterial SSU rRNA". It matches the Rfam family "Bacterial small subunit ribosomal RNA", at positions 338 to 795 of the family's 1533-position model. Lineage: Bacteria; Pseudomonadati; Pseudomonadota; Gammaproteobacteria; Enterobacterales; Enterobacteriaceae. The record is from RNAcentral.
CCUACGGGGGGCUGCAGUGGGGAAUAUUGCACAAUGGGCGCAGGCCUGAUGCAGCCAUGCCGCGUGUGUGAAGAAGGCCUUCGGGUUGUAAAGCACUUUCAGCGGGGAGGAAGGCGUUAAGGUUAAUAACCUUGUCGAUUGACGUUACCCGCAGAAGAAGCACCGGCUAACUCCGUGCCAGCAGCCGCGGUAAUACGGAGGGUGCAAGCGUUAAUCGGAAUUACUGGGCGUAAAGCGCACGCAGGCGGUCUGUCAAGUCGGAUGUGAAAUCCCCGGGCUCAACCUGGGAACUGCAUUCGAAACUGGCAGGCUAGAGUCUUGUAGAGGGGGGUAGAAUUCCAGGUGUAGCGGUGAAAUGCGUAGAGAUCUGGAGGAAUACCGGUGGCGAAGGCGGCCCCCUGGACAAAGACUGACGCUCAGGUGCGAAAGCGUGGGGAGCAAACAGGAUUAGAUACCCCGGUAGUC